This 253-nucleotide ribosomal RNA is filed under the name uncultured bacterium. Its description in RNAcentral is "partial 16S ribosomal RNA". It matches the Rfam family "Bacterial small subunit ribosomal RNA", at positions 524 to 776 of the family's 1533-position model. The record is from RNAcentral.
UACAGAGGGUGCGAGCGUUAAUCGGAAUUACUGGGCGUAAAGCGUGCGUAGACGGUUAUUUAAGUCGGGUGUGAAAGCCCCGGGCUCAACCUGGGAAUUGCAUUCGAGACUGAAUAGCUAGGGUACGGUAGAGGGAAGCGGAAUUUCCGGUGUAGCGGUGAAAUGCGUAGAUAUCGGAAGGAACACCAGUGGCGAAAGCGGCUUCCUGGUCCAGCAUCGACGUUCAGGCACGAAAGCGUGGGGAGCAAACAGG